AGAGACAGCAGUCGCCGCGGUAAUACGGAGGGGGCUAGCGUUGUUCGGAAUUACUGGGCGUAAAGCGCACGUAGGCGGCUUGGUAAGUUAGAGGUGAAAGCCCGGAGCUCAACUCCGGAAUUGCCUUUAAGACUGCCGAGCUAGUAGGUGAGAGAGGUAAGUGGAAUUCCGAGUGUAGAGGUGAAAUUCGUAGAUAUUCGGAAGAACACCAGUGGCGAAGGCGGCUUACUGGCUCAUUCUAGACGCUGAGGUGCGAAAGCGUGGGGAGCAAACAGGAUUAGAUACCCCGGUAGUCCCUGUCUCUUAUAC
This 309-nucleotide ribosomal RNA is filed under the name uncultured bacterium. Its description in RNAcentral is "partial 16S ribosomal RNA". It matches the Rfam family "Bacterial small subunit ribosomal RNA", at positions 504 to 807 of the family's 1533-position model. The record is from RNAcentral.